This 314-nucleotide ribosomal RNA is filed under the name uncultured Pseudomonas sp. RNAcentral's name for it is "bacterial SSU rRNA". It matches the Rfam family "Bacterial small subunit ribosomal RNA", at positions 1071 to 1382 of the family's 1533-position model. Lineage: Bacteria; Pseudomonadati; Pseudomonadota; Gammaproteobacteria; Pseudomonadales; Pseudomonadaceae. The record is from RNAcentral.
UGGUUAGGGUUAACGUCCCGUAACGAGCGCUAACCCUUGUCCUUAGUUACCAGCACGUUAUGGUGGGCACUCUAAGGAGACUGCCGGUGACAAACCGGAGGAAGGUGGGGAUGACGUCAAGUCAUCAUGGCCCUUACGGCCUGGGCUACACACGUGCUACAAUGGUCGGUACAAAGGGUUGCCAAGCCGCGAGGUGGAGCUAAUCCCAUAAAACCGAUCGUAGUCCGGAUCGCAGUCUGCAACUCGACUGCGUGAAGUCGGAAUCGCUAGUAAUCGUGAAUCAGAAUGUCACGGUGAAUACGUUCCCGGGCCUU